RNAcentral lists this ribosomal RNA (237 nucleotides) under uncultured bacterium. RNAcentral's name for it is "partial 16S ribosomal RNA". It matches the Rfam family "Bacterial small subunit ribosomal RNA", at positions 99 to 334 of the family's 1533-position model. The record is from RNAcentral.
CAAACGGGUGCGGAACACGUACGCAACCUUCCUUUAACUGGAGAAUAGCCCCUCGAAAGAGGGAUUAAUACUCCGUAACAUAUUGAUAAGGCAUCUUAUUAAUAUUAUAGCCGCAAGGCGGUUAAAGAUGGGCGUGCGCCUGAUUAGAUAGUUGGCGGGGUAACGGCCCACCAAGUCUGCGAUCAGUAACUGGUGUGAGAGCACGACCAGUCACACGGGCACUGAGACACGGGCCCG